AUGAUUUUUUUGUAUUUCGAUGAAAUGCACCCAUUCAUUUUACCAAUAUGCUUGAAUAAUUCAUAACGUGUUUUCGUGUAAUAUCCUAAAAUAAUAUAUGGUUGAUAUAUCUGGAAAGGAUCCUAGAAAAAGUGGGUUUUUGGAAAAUAGCAUAUCAAAUAAUGCCUUGAUAAUAGCUGGAGUUGUUAUUUUUUCAGUUUUUGGUUAUAUUGCAUAUAAAUUAUACCAGAGUAUUCAGAGCAAAAGUAAAAGAAAGACAGAUAAGAAAAUGAAAAUACAUAAGAAUAAAGGUGCAUCAUCGCAUAAUAAAAAAUCAUGAUAAAAUUUUUAUUAUAUGUUUAUUUAUAUAAAUUAUAUGUCUAGAUCACUUAAAUAAUAAAGACAGUAAAUUAUUGUAUUAAUAAUUUAAUAAACAUCUUUACAAUCUCUCCUUUCACAUUUUACAUUUCCAUUCUGUUUAGAUUAAGUAUAAAUUAAUGUCAAAUUCAAACUUUAAUUACUAAGCAUGUGCAAUAUAUGCAUUUUUCUUGAUUAUGAUAAUUAUUGAAUUCUUUAACAUUGUAAGCUAAUUUAAUUCCUGGUAUCCAUUCACUAUUAUGUAAGUGAAAUUUUCCCCCUACAUUGCAAUUUCCUUUUUCAUAUAAUUAAUUACAUUAUAUAUAAAUAAAUAACAUUAUUUAAUUUUUACUUUUUCCAUUUAGCUUAUUUGAUUUAUCUUCAAUUUUAAUAUAAAUAUUAUCAAUCCAAUGUUUGUAUAUAUGCUUUGAAAUAUUGUUACCAUCAGAAAAUUUCAUAGAAUCAGUAAAAUUUAUUGCUACUU
This is a long non-coding RNA of Gordionus sp. m RMFG-2023, 820 nucleotides long. RefSeq lists it as uncharacterized. The transcript has 2 exons. The record is from RefSeq and is a predicted model, not a curated record. NCBI's taxonomy places the organism in Eukaryota, Metazoa, Nematomorpha, Gordioida, Chordodea, Parachordodidae.